Molecule: unclassified non-coding RNA, 240 nt
Filed under: soil metagenome
Description: partial contains 5.8S ribosomal RNA, internal transcribed spacer 2, and large subunit ribosomal RNA
Source: RNAcentral
AAGACUAUAGACCUGCGGAGUACCUGCGGAAGGAUCAUUAUUGAAUAAACUUGGUCAAGCUGUUGCUGGUCCUUCGGGGCAUGUGCACGUUUGCCACCAAUUUUAACCACCUGUGCACCUUUUGUAGAUUGGAAACGUUUCUCGAGGCAACUCGGAUUUGAGGACUGCUGUGCGCAAGCCGGCUGUUCUUGUGUUUCUCAAUCUAUGUUUUCAUAUACUCCUAAUGUAUGUAUCAGAAUG